CCUGAACGCUGGCGGCGUGGCUAAGACAUGCAAGUCGUACGGGUGUAGCAAUACACCAGUGGCGAACGGGUGAGUAAUGUAUCGCUAAUGUGCCCCGGAUUCUGGGAUAGCCAUCCGAAAGGGUGGGUAAUACCAGAUGAUAUAACUUUGUCGCAUGACAGAGUUCCCAAAGGAGCAAUCCGCUCUGGGAGCAGGCGAUAUCGUAUCAGCUAGUUGGUGAGGUAACGGCUCACCAAGGCGACGACGCGUAGCUGGACUGAGAGGUUGGCCGGCCACA
This 277-nucleotide ribosomal RNA is filed under the name uncultured bacterium. RNAcentral describes it as "partial 16S ribosomal RNA". It matches the Rfam family "Bacterial small subunit ribosomal RNA", at positions 30 to 312 of the family's 1533-position model. The record is from RNAcentral.